This 1398-nucleotide ribosomal RNA is filed under the name Candidatus Staskawiczbacteria bacterium RIFOXYA2_FULL_32_7. RNAcentral describes it as "bacterial SSU rRNA". It matches the Rfam family "Archaeal small subunit ribosomal RNA". Lineage: Bacteria; Candidatus Staskawicziibacteriota. The record is from RNAcentral.
UCCAGUUUAUCCUGCUGGCGGCUGCGGCUAUCUGGUUUGCACUUAGACAUGCAAGUCUCUUUGUUUCGCAAGAAAUUGAGGGCGAACUGCUUAGUAACACGUAGCUAACCUGCUCUGUGGCUGGAAAUAACCUCGGGAAACUGAGGGUAAUGUCCAAUAGAAGAUGAUUUCUGGAAUGAUUUAUCUUUCAACACAGAAUGGGGCUGCGGCUGAUUAGGUAGUUGGCGGGGUAAUAGCCCACCAAGCCAAUGAUCAGUAAGGGCCUUUAGCGAGGAAACCCUAAGAGGGAGUCUGAGACACUACUCCCAGCCCUACGGGGUGCAGCAGUCGGGAAACUUUUGCAAUGCGCGCAAGCGUGACAAAGCAAGCCAGAGUGAUAUUCCUAUUUUUGGAAUUUCUUUUGCGGGAUGUAAAAAGUCCCGUGAAUAAGGAGUGGGAGAGACUGGUGCCAGCCGCCGCGGUAAUCCCAGCAGUCNNNNNNNNNNNNNNNNUUAUUGGGUCUAAAACAUCCGUAGCUUGCAUUGUAAGUCUCUUGUGAAAUCGGGCCUCUUAAGGGUCCGUCGGGCAAGAGAUACUGCUUUGCUAGAGACCGGGAGACGUAAGAAGUACGCAUGGAGUAGCGGUAAAAUGUGUUGAUCCUAUGUGGACUAACAAUAGCGAAGGCAUCUUACGAGAACGGAUCUGACAGUGAGGGAUGAAGGCUAGGGGCGCAAAGUGGAUUAGAUACCCAUGUAGUCCUAGCAGUAAACCCUGCACACUAAACAUCGGGGCCUCCUCGAGAGGUUUCGGUGCUGUAACGAAGGUGGAAAGUGUGCUACCUGGGGAGUAUAGCCGCAAGGCCGAAACUUAAAGGAAUAGGCGGGGGAGUACCACAACGGGUGACGCGUGCGGUUCAAUCAGAUUCUACACCGUGAACCUCACCAGCACCGACAGCAGAAUGAAGGUCAGUCUAAAGGGCUUACCUGACACGCUGAGAGGGGAUGCAGGGCCGACGUCAGCCUGUGUCGUGAGAUGACCAGUUAAAUCUGGUAACAGGCGAGACCCAUGUGUACAUUUAAAUUUGCAAUGUACAGACUGCAGUGGUAACACUGAGGAAGGUGUGGGCUACGUUAGGUGGACCGUCCCAAAUGCGCUGGGCUACACGCGCGCGGCAAUGCUGCAUUCAAAGGGCUGCGACUCCGAAAGGAGAAGCCAAUCUCAUAAACUGCAGCUUAGUUCAGAUUGAGGAUUGCAACUCAUCCUCAUGACGCUGGAAUCCGUAGUAAUCGGGCUUUAUCAGAACCCGGUGAAUAAGUCAAUGCUCCUUGCACUCACCGAAAUAAAUGUGCUCGGCAGUUUCAUAAUCUUCAACUCGUAAGAGUUGGAGAGACAGAGAAUUUUAUUCUCUGGAAAUCUAGU